RNAcentral lists this ribosomal RNA (357 nucleotides) under uncultured bacterium. RNAcentral's name for it is "partial 16S ribosomal RNA". It matches the Rfam family "Bacterial small subunit ribosomal RNA", at positions 338 to 692 of the family's 1533-position model. The record is from RNAcentral.
CCUACGGGUGGCAGCAGUGAGGAAUAUUGGUCAAUGGACGCAAGUCUGAACCAGCCAUGCCGCGUGCAGGAUGAAGGCUCUAUGAGUUGUAAACUGCAUUUGUACGAGGGUAAACCGCGAUAAGCGUACCGGGUUGAAAGUAUCGUACGAAUAAGGAUAGGCUAACUCCGUGCCAGCAGCCGCGGUAAUACGGAGGAUCCGAGCGUUAUCCGGAUUGAUUGGGGUUAAAGGGUGCGUAGGCGGUUUGAUAAGUUAGAGGUGAAAUGUCGGGGCUCAACCCGGAAACUGCCUCUGAUACUGUUGGACUAGAGAAUAGUUGCGGUAGGCGGAAUGUAUGGUGUAGCGGUGAAAUGCUUA